UACGGAGGGUGCAAGCGUUAUCCGGAUUCACUGGGUUUAAAGGGUGCGUAGGUGGGUUGGUAAGUCAGUGGUGAAAUCUCCGUGCUUAACAUGGAACUGCCAUUGAUACUUACUGAUCUUGAAUUUUCAGGAGGUAAGCGGAAUAUGUCAUGUAGCGGUGAAAUGCUUAGAUAUGACAUAGAACACCAAUUGCGAAGGCAGCUUACUACAGGAAUAUUGACACUGGAU
This 228-nucleotide ribosomal RNA is filed under the name uncultured bacterium. RNAcentral describes it as "partial 16S ribosomal RNA". It matches the Rfam family "Bacterial small subunit ribosomal RNA", at positions 524 to 751 of the family's 1533-position model. The record is from RNAcentral.